Molecule: long non-coding RNA, 1044 nt
Organism: Triticum aestivum (bread wheat)
Lineage: Eukaryota; Viridiplantae; Streptophyta; Magnoliopsida; Poales; Poaceae
Exons: 2
Source: RefSeq, a predicted model, not a curated record
CAGCAUCUACAAAAAGGAGUUACUACCGCAAAAUCCAAGAAACAUUGACAAACUGGUUAUGACAGGAUUUGCGAAAUGGUUAAGAAGAUGCGGGAGAAUGGGCAUGCAGUUGAUGAUGCCCUUUACGCACUAGCGACGGGUUCUGAUACUCGGGUAAGACAUUAUGAACCUUGCGUUGUCGGAGAUGUGCGCCACAACACCCUUGCACACGAUGAAGGCAGGAAGACACAAAACAGUGCCAUCAUGAGCACUGAUACGUACGGCAAAGAGACAACUGAAAUGUAUGCUAGCAUAACAGACAUUGUUUAGUUGCAGUAUAUCUCCAGUUUCGAGGAUCAUCAGUGUGUGGUUCUGUUGUGCCGUCGUUGGUAUAACCUGUUUUCCAGGAUCGCAAACCAGAGCUGGUGAUUAUUUCAAAUCCAUCAAUGUCAAGGCAGCGUAUCAGACCAACGAGCCUUUUAUUUUGGCAAAUCAAGCAACACAGAUAUUUUUCUUGGAAGACACAUUUGCACGUAGCGAUGACCGGAGAGUAUUGCAAUGGUUUGAGCAAAGGAAUUCAUUUAAUGAAGUUGCACAACAAGAUGAUGCUUAUACUACUGCUGACCUACAAUAUUCCACAGAUGUUCCUAAUAUCUUUGAGAAUUAUCAUGUUAAUGACGCUGGCAAAAAGAUUGUCUGUUGUGCUGUGGACAUACAAGAGUUGAUCAAAAAGAAGCCAACGUUCGAGGACAUUGAGGAUGAAGAAGAAGAUGACACUAUGGGAAUUACGAUUCAGACUGAUACACAUGGCAAAGAUGUUGACGCUGCUGCUGUGGAUGAUGAUUAGAUUGCUUUUGUCGUAUUUGCCUGUCAGAAGACGUUUUUUAUCUGCUAUGUAAAUUGUGUUUUUUAUGACAACUGAAACCUGAUGAACGUGUUGUUUAGUAUUUUGCUGUGAGAACAUCACUUCUUAUGUAUGUUGAUUUGUGUUUGGUGAUUGUAUGAUGACUAAAACAUGAUGACAUUGUCGUUUAGUUGUACUCAUAUUUGGUUGUGAAACUUGAA